GUUACCCCUAGAGGUGUUGCAGGUAUGACUGCCAUGUCAGAAGUGGGUUGGUAGGUGGCAGAGAGGAGAGAGAUUAUGUCUAUGUUCAGUGUUCUGACUUAUGAACAUUCAAAUGAUUAGUAACCCAACACU
This is a small nucleolar RNA of Rattus norvegicus (Norway rat), 132 nucleotides long. Ensembl annotates it as small nucleolar RNA SNORA17. The record is from Ensembl. NCBI's taxonomy places the organism in Eukaryota, Metazoa, Chordata, Mammalia, Rodentia, Muridae.